GACGAACGCUGGCGGCGUGCUUAACACAUGCAAGUCGAACGGAAAGGCCCUGCUUGCAGGGUACUCGAGUGGCGAACGGGUGAGUAACACGUGGGUGAUCUGCCCUGCACUUCGGGAUAAGCCGGGGAAACUGGGUCUAAUACCGGAUAGGAGCCAGUUUUAGUGUGAUGGUUGGAAAGUUUUUUCGGUGUAGGAUGAGCUCGCGGCCUAUCAGCUUGUUGGUGGGGUAAUGGCCUACCAAGGCGGCGACGGGUAGCCGGCCCGAGAGGGUGGACGGCCACAUUGGGACUGAGAGAGGGCCCAGACUCCUACGGGGGGGAGCAGUGGGGAAUAUUGCACAAUGGGCGCAAGCCUGAUGCAGCGACGCCGCGUGGGGGAUGACGGCCUUCGGGUUGUAAACUCCUUUCGCUAGGGACGAAGCUUUUUGUGACGGUACCUAGAUAAGAAGCACCGGCUAACUACGUG
RNAcentral lists this ribosomal RNA (465 nucleotides) under uncultured bacterium. RNAcentral's name for it is "partial 16S ribosomal RNA". It matches the Rfam family "Bacterial small subunit ribosomal RNA", at positions 28 to 507 of the family's 1533-position model. The record is from RNAcentral.